CAAUAGCGUAUAUUAAAGUUGUUGCAGUUAAAAAGCUCGUAGUUGGAUUUCUGGUUGAAGCGACCGGUCGGGCGUUGAUUCGUCUGCACUGGAGUCGGUUUUGGCCAUCCUCUAGGAAAGUGCGUCUGGUAUUAAGUUAUCGGGCGUAUGAUCCUGGUCUUUUACUGUGAAAAAAUUAGAGUGUUUAAAGCAGGCCUUCGCCUCGAAUACAUUAGCAUGGAAUAAUAAGAUAGGACUUUGGUCUAUUUUGUUGGUUUGCAGACCGAAGUAAUGAUUAAUAGGGAUAGUUGGGGGUAUUUAUAUUCCGAUGUCAGAGGUGAAAUUCUUAGAUUUUCGGAAGAUAAACUUAUGCGAAAGCAUUUACCAAGGAUGUUUNCAUUA
RNAcentral lists this ribosomal RNA (381 nucleotides) under uncultured eukaryote. RNAcentral's name for it is "partial 18S ribosomal RNA". It matches the Rfam family "Eukaryotic small subunit ribosomal RNA", at positions 592 to 975 of the family's 1831-position model. The record is from RNAcentral.